This 1026-nucleotide long non-coding RNA is filed under the name Mus spretus (western wild mouse). RNAcentral describes it as "lncRNA (ENSMSPG00010027861.1)". Lineage: Eukaryota; Metazoa; Chordata; Mammalia; Rodentia; Muridae. The record is from RNAcentral.
UUGGUUCUAUAAGAGAGCAGGCCGAGCAAGCCAGGGGAAGCAAGCCAGUAAGAAACAUCCCUCCAUGGCUUCUGCAUUACCUUCAUGACCUGAUUGAGUUCCUGACAUCCUUUGGUGAUGAACAGCAAUGUGGAAAUGAUAACUGGACCUGGAUAGAGGGAAGUGACAAGUCUUCUACUUGCCCGAGAAGAAAGAUGUCAAUAGAGAAGGUAGAUUCUAAAGAGACAUAGACCUGCCUCAGUAGAACAGAAUGUGAAGGAACAUCACCUCAAACAGAAUGGGCUACUUGCUGUCUCUUGGAACCUUUAUUCAAGAAAGGCUCAGCAUUUAGUGGCCAGUUUGAAUUUUGAACCUUGGAAUACUGCUCAGAUCCACCUAUGGUUGAUGAUCACUUUUGAAUGGAGCUAGAGCAAGAGACAGAACUAUGGGAGGAUUGGACUCUAGCAGGAAAAGCCUUGUUUCAGAUCCUGUUUGUGAGGGCUUUGAUCUUUUCACCCUUGCUUACUGAAUUAAGAAUGGAGAAUUCAUGGACUUUGAGUGACAUUUAAAACUAAAAACAAAACAACAACAACAACAACCUCCCCCCCUGCCCCCCGCAAACUUCUUCCUCAAUAUUACUUACAAAUCAAUCAUCUUGAAAAGAUUGACUUCUUCCAUGAAAUAGUCCAAUCAAAAUUUAUGAAAUGCCAGAAAGGAAAAAAAAAAACAUAAGCUCAAAAAUAUAACCACCAGAGUGCUCUACACCCACGUGAAUCAGCCCACCUCAUUGUACUUGUAGAUUUUUGAGUGAAAAAUUAGCCUAUGGGGCCCCCCCCUGCCGGGUGGUAAUCCUUGGGUUCAGCCUUAAACACCACAUUGCAGAUUUCCUGCUUCUAAAGUGAUGGAAGAAUGAUUCUGUUAGUCAACCCAUAGGAGCUCCUCACUUGGAAUGUGCUCAGCUGAAUUCAGUCAAUGCACUGAUAACCAAUCCCUUGCUUUUGUAAGACCUUCUGUAUUUGUUUUUAAAAAAUAAAUUUUGAAUUCAGC